Long non-coding RNA from Drosophila navojoa, 251 nucleotides. The record is from RefSeq and is a predicted model, not a curated record. Lineage: Eukaryota; Metazoa; Arthropoda; Insecta; Diptera; Drosophilidae.
AAUUACAAUUUGUUGUUGUUUUUUUUCGCCGCCGCAGAGUAAGCACGUCGGUAACGGAAAUUCUCGUCAAAGUUUUUCGCGCUCUACGUUUUAACGGCGCCCGGUCGUCGUCGCCGUCGCUGCCAACGUUGUCAAGCGCAGCGGCGUCGCAUCAAGAAAAAACCUGAGAAUAGUGUUACCCAUAAAAGAGAGAAGACUGCACCACCGUGCUGCCUUAAGUGUCGCGCAAUAACGGCAACAGACGGAAGAAA